UCCGGCUUAACGCCGGCAGUUUCUUUAGAGUGCCCAGCCGAACUGAUGGCAACUAAAGAUGAGGGUUGCGCUCGUUGCGGGACUUAACCCAACAUCUCACGACACGAGCUGACGACAGCCAUGCAGCACCUGUCACCGGUCCAGCCGAACUGAAGGGUACAUCUCUGUACCCGUUAACCGGGAAGUCAAGGCCUGGUAAGGUUCUUCGCGUUGCCUCGAAUUAAACCACAUGCUCCACCGCUUGUGCGGGUCCCCGUCAAUUCCUUUGAGUUUUAAUCUUGCGACCGUACUUCCCAGGCGGGAUGCUUAAUGCGUUAGCUGCGACACUGAGGGACAAAGCCCCCCAACAUCUAGCAUCCAUCGUUUACAGCGUGGACUAC
Molecule: unclassified non-coding RNA, 380 nt
Filed under: uncultured Alphaproteobacteria bacterium
Lineage: Bacteria; Pseudomonadati; Pseudomonadota; Alphaproteobacteria
Description: contains 16S-23S intergenic spacer region
Source: RNAcentral